UACGGGGGGAGCAAGCGUUGUUCGGAUUUACUGGGCGUAAAGGGCGCGUAGGCGGCCACCGCAAGUCGGUUGUGAAAUCUCCGGGCUUAACCCGGAAAGGUCAAUCGAUACUGCGGGGCUAGAGUGCAGAAGGGGCAACUGGAAUUCUCGGUGUAGCGGUGAAAUGCGUAGAUAUCGAGAGGAACACCUACGGCGAAGGCGGGUUGCUGGGCUGACACUGACGCUGAAGCGCGAAAGCUAGGGGAGCGAACGGG
This 254-nucleotide ribosomal RNA is filed under the name uncultured bacterium. RNAcentral's name for it is "partial 16S ribosomal RNA". It matches the Rfam family "Bacterial small subunit ribosomal RNA", at positions 524 to 776 of the family's 1533-position model. The record is from RNAcentral.